RNAcentral lists this unclassified non-coding RNA (20 nucleotides) under Mus musculus (house mouse). RNAcentral's name for it is "oocyte_clustered_small_RNA5272". The record is from RNAcentral. Lineage: Eukaryota; Metazoa; Chordata; Mammalia; Rodentia; Muridae.
CCCCUCGCCAGGACACUCUG